RNAcentral lists this ribosomal RNA (565 nucleotides) under Conus omaria. RNAcentral's name for it is "partial 16S ribosomal RNA". It matches the Rfam family "Bacterial large subunit ribosomal RNA", at positions 1788 to 2623 of the family's 2925-position model. Lineage: Eukaryota; Metazoa; Mollusca; Gastropoda; Neogastropoda; Conidae. The record is from RNAcentral.
AGCGGGUCCUGUUUUACCAAAAACAUGGCUUCGUGUCAGCUUAAAAUACGAAGUCGGACCUGCCCAGUGAGUUUUAAACGGCCGCGGUACUCUGACCGUGCAAAGGUAGCAUAAUCAUUUGCCUUAUAAUUGAAGGCUGGAAUGAAUGGUUUGACAAGAAUACACCUGUCUCUUUUAGAUUGACUAGAAUUUUAUUUUUGGAUGAAAAAGUCCAGAUAUGAUUAAAAGACAAGAAGACCCUAUCGAGCUUUAGAAAAAUUAAUAGAGUUAGCUUAAAUCAAUAUAAGUAAAAGGAAGACUAUUAAGAUACUUUGGUUGGGGCAACCGAGGAGCAAAUAAAGCCUCCUUUUAAAUGGUAAGUCUUACCCGUGCUGAUCCAAACUUUUUGAUCAAAGGAAUUAGUUACCGUAGGGAUAACAGCAUUAUCUUUUUCAAGAGUCCAUAUCGAAAAAAAGGUUUGUGACCUCGAUGUUGGACCAGAAUAUCCUAAAGAUGCAGAAGUCUUUAAGGGUUGGUCUGUUCGACCAUUAAAAUUCUACGUGAUCUGAGUUCAGACCGGGACGUG